This 309-nucleotide ribosomal RNA is filed under the name uncultured bacterium. RNAcentral's name for it is "bacterial SSU rRNA". It matches the Rfam family "Bacterial small subunit ribosomal RNA", at positions 28 to 337 of the family's 1533-position model. The record is from RNAcentral.
GACGAACGCUGGCGGCGUGCUUAACACAUGCAAGUCGAGCGGUAAGGCCCUUUCGGGGGUACGACGAGCGGCGAACGGGUGAGUAACACGUGGGUGACCUGCCCUUAGCUCUGGGAUAAGCCUGGGAAACUGGGUCUAAUACCGGAUAUGACUCCAUGACGCAUGUUGUGGGGUGGAAAGCCUUGUGCGGCUAGGGAUGGGCCCGCGGCCUAUCAGCUUGUUGGUGGGGUGAUGGCCUACCAAGGCGACGACGGGUAGCCGGCCUGAGAGGGCGACCGGCCACACUGGGACUGAGACACGGCCCAGACU